GUGGCGCCGGCGGGAGGGAGCCGAGAGGCGGAGGCAGCCGGCGAGAACCGAGCUCAGCUGCUGCCCCAGGAGGCAGCUGCACUGGAAGCCGACUCUGCCAGAUGUAGCCACUGCUUCUAUCUAACUUCCCACCUGGGCUGGAGCGCGAGCAUGAACACCAUGCUGGAAGGACUUCUGCAGGUGAUGAUGUUUCUGUUUCAAGCGUAUGCUGAUCACCGUGAAACAUAACCCCAGUGCCAUGUCUGCGCAAGCAGUUCCUGCCAUCCUCCCACUGCUGCCUAUUCAUCUGCACUUCAGCUUUCAUAGGCUCCUUUCAGCAUAUCUUCUACAAGCAGUAGUCAUAUGCCUGCAUCCUGGAUUCACUUACACAUGACAUUAAGACUCCAAAGCAGGACUGCAGGAAGCAACAGGACUCUGCAAGCAGCAAAGGCUUAGUUACGAGACUGAAAAGAGGAGCUGAAAUGAAGAACAUCUGCCUGAAGGCAGCCAAGAACAAACUGCAGGCAAACCCAGAAAAACAGGCUGAAGAAAUGGACAGACGGGAAUAGAAGUAGCCAUGACAGAUGAGUCACCUAGUUCAAUAAAGAGCAAACCUGAGAUCGAGACAGUAUUAGCUACCCAUAGAUUAAAACAGAAUAAACAAACCCCUUCAGAACAA
This is a long non-coding RNA of Harpia harpyja (harpy eagle), 658 nucleotides long. RefSeq lists it as uncharacterized. The transcript is spliced from 5 exons. Lineage: Eukaryota; Metazoa; Chordata; Aves; Accipitriformes; Accipitridae. The record is from RefSeq and is a predicted model, not a curated record.